GCGGCGCGCCUAACACAUGCAAGUCGAACGAGAGAGAGGGAGCUUGCUUCCUCAAUCGAGUGGCGAACGGGUGAGUAACGCGUGAGGAACCUGCCUCAAAGAGGGGGACAACAGUUGGAAACGACUGCUAAUACCGCAUAAGCCCACGGGUCGGCAUCGACCAGAGGGAAAAGGAGCAAUCCGCUUUGAGAUGGCCUCGCGUCCGAUUAGCUAGUUGGUGAGGUAACGGCCCACCAAGGCGACGAUCGGUAGCCGGACUGAGAGGUUGAACGGCCACAUUGGGACUGAGACACGGCCCAGACUCCUACGGGAGGCAGCAGUGGGGAAUAUUGCACAAUGGGGGAAACCCUGAUGCAGCGACGCCGCGUGGAGGAAGAUGGUCUUCGGAUUGUAAACUCCUGUUGUUGAGGAAGAUAAUGACGGUACUCAACAAGGAAGUGACGGCUAACUACGUGCCAGCAGCCGCGGUAAAACGUAGGUCACAAGCGUUGUCCGGAAUUACUGGGUGUAAAGGGAGCGCAGGCGGGAAGACAAGUUGGAAGUGAAAUCUAUGGGCUCAACCCAUAAACUGCUUUCAAAACUGUUUUUCUUGAGUAGUGCAGAGGUAGGCGGAAUUCCCGGUGUAGCGGUGGAAUGCGUAGAUAUCGGGAGGAACACCAGUGGCGAAGGCGGCCUACUGGGCACCAACUGACGCUGAGGCUCGAAAGUGUGGGUAGCAAACAGGAUUAGAUACCCUGGUAGCCCACACCGUAAACGAUGAUUACUAGGUGUGGGAGGAAUUGACCCCUUCAGUGCCGCAGUUAACACAAUAAGUAAUCCACCUGGGGGAGUACGACCGCAAGGUUGAAACUCAAAGGAAUUGACGGGGGCCCGCACAAGCAGUGGAGUAUGUGGUUUAAUUCGACGCAACGCGAAGAACCUUACCAAGUCUUGACAUCCUGCGACGAUGCUGGAAACAGUAUUUUCCUUCGGGACGCAGAGACAGGUGGUGCAUGGUUGUCGUCAGCUCGUGUCGUGAGAUGUUGGGUUAAGUCCCGCAACGAGCGCAACCCUUACUGUCAGUUACUACGCAAGAGGACUCUGGCAGGACUGCCGUUGACAAAACGGAGGAAGGUGGGGAUGACGUCAAAUCAUCAUGCCCUUUAUGACUUGGGCUACACACGUACUACAAUGGCGUUAAACAAAGAGAAGCAAGACCGCGAGGUGGAGCAAAACUCAGAAACAACGUCCCAGUUUGGACUGCAGGCUGCAACUCGCCUGCACGAAGUCGGAAUUGCUAGUAAUCGUGGAUCAGCAUGCCACGGUGAAUACGUUCCCGGGCCUUGCACACACCGCCCGUCA
RNAcentral lists this ribosomal RNA (1341 nucleotides) under uncultured bacterium. RNAcentral's name for it is "16S ribosomal RNA". It matches the Rfam family "Bacterial small subunit ribosomal RNA", at positions 39 to 1399 of the family's 1533-position model. The record is from RNAcentral.